GAUGAACGCUGGCGGCGUGCCUAAUACAUGCAAGUCGAGCGAAGCGGGGACGGGUGAGUAACACGUGGAUAACCCCCUAUAAGACUGGGAUAACUUCGGGAAACCGGAGCUAAAACGGAUACUUAUAGCUGGAUCCGCGCUGGAUUAGCGAGUUGGUAAGGUAACGGUUUACCAAGGCCACGAUGCAUAGCCGACCGGAGCGGGUGAUCUGCCACACUGGAGCUGGGACACGGUCCAGGCUCCUACGGGAGGCAGCAGUAGGGAAUCUUCCGCAAUGGGCGAAAGCCUGACGGAGCAACGCCGCGUGAGUGAUGAAGGUCUUCGGAUCGUAAAACUCUGUUAUUAGGUAAGCGGUACCUAAUCAGAAAGCCACGGCUAACUACGUGCCAGCCGCCGCGGUAAUUC
RNAcentral lists this ribosomal RNA (405 nucleotides) under uncultured bacterium. RNAcentral describes it as "partial 16S ribosomal RNA". It matches the Rfam family "Bacterial small subunit ribosomal RNA", at positions 28 to 526 of the family's 1533-position model. The record is from RNAcentral.